This 73-nucleotide transfer RNA is filed under the name Bacteroidota bacterium. Its description in RNAcentral is "tRNA-Ala". It matches the Rfam family "tRNA". Rfam says of the family: Transfer RNA (tRNA) molecules are approximately 80 nucleotides in length. Their secondary structure includes four short double-helical elements and three loops (D, anti-codon, and T loops). Further hydrogen bonds mediate the characteristic L-shaped molecular structure. tRNAs have two regions of fundamental functional importance: the anti-codon, which is responsible for specific mRNA codon recognition, and the 3' end, to which the tRNAs corresponding amino acid is attached (by aminoacyl-tRNA synthetases). tRNAs cope with the degeneracy of the genetic code in two manners: having more than one tRNA (with a specific anti-codon) for a particular amino acid; and 'wobble' base-pairing, i.e. permitting non-standard base-pairing at the 3rd anti-codon position. The record is from RNAcentral. Lineage: Bacteria; Pseudomonadati; Bacteroidota. RNAcentral also lists the same sequence under 3 other names.
GGGCCCGUAGCUCAGUUGGGAGAGCGCGUGAAUGGCAUUCACGAGGUCAGGGGUUCAAAUCCCCUCGGGUCCA